CUGCUGCACAAUCUUGACAGAACAACAACGUAAAAAGAUGAAACAUGAGAAACUUGAAUAGAAAGAAUGAUGGAAUCUGACGGGAUGAUUGAAUUCGUGUUUCUCUUUUCACUUCAUAAAUUUCUAUAACAACAACUUUGUCUAAACGAAUCAACCACUAUAAUCACUUGGCUCUUGAAAACUCUCGUUUGUUUAAAUUUAUUUAUUUUUUAUUUUUUUUUGGUUUUGAUUCUCAUUACUUUUUGACAUUCUUAAUUUAUACUUUGUUCUGUGCAGUUUUUUGUGUUUAUUUAGUGUUUGAUUAUUGGUGAGAUUGUUGGAGCGACUGUUGAGUUCAUGCCUGUUUGCAUUGUGGUCGUUGAGGGCAAAUGCUUUGUUUUGAACAGAAAAACAGAAGACAUGAAUCUUAGUGAUUGGCUGCUUGUUAUGGCAUCAAUUUGAGAUCAAUAAGUUACCGCAAAGGCAACGGUUUCCAAUGCACAACAUAACGGAUUUUUGUCCCUUCUAUUGUGCUUCUUUCUCCAUUAUACACAAACAUCAUUUUUUUUCUUCAAUUGUGUUAUAGGCUUAUCCUCAUUUUUCUACUUCAUUAUUUUAAAGGGAGAAACAUGCGGUGGAGGAGUCCCAUAGACAAUUAACGUAUUUUUCAAUUAAUCUGGAAGAGAUUUUUGCCUACUACAACAUUAAAAAAAAAUCAAUGUAAAGGAAGAACAAAAAAAGCAACAACCUAACUCGGUGUGUGGUGAUAUCUAUUUUGUCAAAUACUCCAAUUCUAUGUAUUUUCUUUCUGACUAUACGGUCUCUUAUGGUGUGUUUGCAACAGACUUUUGUGUUCUAGCUUUUGUAGUUUUUAAAGGUACUAAAACUGAAUUAUAUUUCUUUUGUUCAUAUUAAUUUCAUACUAAUUUUUACUCGAUCCACAACACACAUGCAGGAAAUGGGCAAUAGCACAACACAUCCUAUUCUUCAACAUGAACUAUGAUGACAUCCUAUUCUUUGGUUUAAUUGUUUUUAUAUUCUUGGUAAUAAAAUGGGCAAGAGCAAUAUUGAUCCAUUGAUGAAGUCAAAGAUGCAUCUAAAUUUAGUUUUUCCGAUUAAUCUAUUUUAUUUUAUUUUUUAAAUUUACAUCUAUAGAUGUCUCCGUGUUGUGUUCAAUGCAUGUGUUUGUGCUCAUAGGGAAUAUCCUAUAACCAUGUCAUAUAUGUGGAUGAUUUUUAGUUUGAAUUUCUCUCAUAUCAUUAUCAUCUGCUAAUUUUAUCUCUUUAAUAAUGGCUAUUUUUUUUUUCUUGUUUCUAUAUGAAGCAGUCCACAAGAUCAUGGAAGGGGAUGAGUGGAGGUGCUGCUAUCAUCCAAGAUAGACAUAGAGGUUUCCUUAUUGAUUUCAAUGUAUGCUAAAAGAACUGUAUUGUACCAAUUAUCAAGGGUGUUUUGUUCAUUUUUUCAUUCUGUUCUUUGUUUAAUCUUCUUAUUUUAUUCUAACUAAUAUUUCAAAAACAAUGUAAUUAAAAGCGGUAUAUAAACAUGAGAGGUAUUAGGGUAUUUUGAGGAAUGGUCCGAAACAGUGAGAUAACAAAAAUAGGAAUAAAUAAGGAAUAUCAACAGAGCAUCGCAACAAAGUUUUUUAACAGGAAAAUUGAGAUUGACGUAUGUGGUGAAGGCAGCAGUACUGUGACAGCCGCAUAGAGUCGGUGUGGAAAUUGGUCUUUCGCCUUCGAGAUAGAGAAAUGAAAAAAGGGGAAGGAUGGUGGUAUCCUAGGCUGCCAGCGAAAAGGAGCAAUAUGGUUGAUUUGAAGACAAAGGAGGCAUCAUUAAUUGUUAGUACAACGGGUUAUCACAGCGUCGACG
This 1845-nucleotide long non-coding RNA is filed under the name Medicago truncatula (barrel medic). RNAcentral describes it as "lncRNA gene13850". Lineage: Eukaryota; Viridiplantae; Streptophyta; Magnoliopsida; Fabales; Fabaceae. The record is from RNAcentral.